This 440-nucleotide ribosomal RNA is filed under the name uncultured bacterium. RNAcentral's name for it is "partial 16S ribosomal RNA". It matches the Rfam family "Bacterial small subunit ribosomal RNA", at positions 338 to 795 of the family's 1533-position model. The record is from RNAcentral.
CCUACGGGUGGCAGCAGUGGGGAAUAUUGCACAAUGGGCGGAACCCUGAUGCAGCGACGCCGCGUGAGUGAAGAAGGAUUUCGGUAUGUAAAGCUCUAUCAGCAGGGAAGAAAAUGACGGUACCUGACUAAGAAGCCCCGGCUAACUACGUGCCAGCAGCCGCGGUAAUACGUCGGGGGCAAGCGUUAUCCGGAUUUACUGGGUGUAAAGGGGGCGCAGACGGCUGUGCAAGUCUGGAGUGAAAGGCGGGGGCCCAACCCCCGGACUGCGCUGGAAACUGUAAAGCUGGAGUGCAGGAGAGGUAAGCGGAAUUCCUAGUGUAGCGGUGAAAUGCGUAGAUAUCAGGAGGAACAUCGGUGGCGAAAGCGCUUUACUGGACCAUUAUUGACGCUGAGGAACGAAAGCCAGGGGAGCAAAUGGGAUUAGAUACCCGAGUAGUC